UCUCUCUCUCCAGGUCGAGACAUGGCCAACACAACCCUACCAGGUUAUCCCCCUCACGUACCCCCCACCGGCCAAGGCAGCUACCCCACCUCAACACUGGCCGGAAUGGUUCCUGGGAGUGAGUUUACAGGAAACCCUUACAGUCAUCCACAGUACACGACCUACAACGAGGCAUGGCGGUUCAGCAACCCAGCAUUACUAAGUUCCCCUUAUUAUUAUAGUGCCACAUCCAGAGGUUCCGGACCACCUACUGCUGCCACGGCAUAUGACCGCCACUAGUUACCAUGGAAACCAAAUCAACCACCACCACCUACACCAUGACUACAACCAUGGCUUCGGCAGUGUCCAUGUUGCCCCGGUGUGAACAGAGGGCAUGAGGGGAUACCGUUAAAGACAGCUAACAGGCAGCUCCAUUUCCUGUAAAUCCCACUACUACACACAACAGAAGAAGAACGGUCCUCCUGGAUACCACACUACUACACACAACAGAAGAAGAACGGUCCUCCUGGAUACCACACUACUACACACAACAGAAGAAGAACAGUCCUCCUGUAUAUCACACUACUACACACAACAGAAGAAGAACGGUCCUCCUGGAUACCACACUACUACACACAACAGAAGAAGAACGGUCCUCCUGGAUACCACACUACUACACACAACAGAAGAAAAACGGUCCUCCUGGAUACCACACUACUACACACAACAGAAGAAGAACGGUCCUCCGGGAUACUACACAAAACAGCAAAUUACCUGAUCGUUCGGGAUACCACACUACUACACACAACAGAAAAUUACCUGAUCGUUCGGGAUACCACACUACUACACACAACAGAAGAAGAACGGUCCUCCUGGAUACCACACUACUACACACAACAGAAAAUUACCUGAUCGUUCGGGAUACCACACUACUACACACAACAGAAAAUUACCUGAUCGUUCGGGAUACCACACUACUACACACAACAGAAAAUGACCUGAUCGUUCAGGAUACCACACUACUACACACAACAGAAAAUUACCUGAUCGUUCAGGAUACCAUGCAGACAACUUCCCAUCAACCAUGAAUUUGAAUUCCUUCAAAGUAGUGAAAAAUGUAAAAUUCUUCGUUCUGAUCUGCGUGACUGUACAUUACCACUAGAGACUUUGAAAGACUAUAUAUACGUGAUACUACUGAGGUUACUGAGGU
Oncorhynchus gorbuscha (pink salmon) is the source of this 1189-nucleotide RNA transcript. It is a transcript of the gene named paired box protein Pax-2a-like, with no coding region annotated. The record is from RefSeq and is a predicted model, not a curated record. The transcript has 4 exons. Lineage: Eukaryota; Metazoa; Chordata; Actinopteri; Salmoniformes; Salmonidae.